Molecule: long non-coding RNA, 750 nt
Organism: Neofelis nebulosa (Clouded leopard)
Lineage: Eukaryota; Metazoa; Chordata; Mammalia; Carnivora; Felidae
Exons: 3
Source: RefSeq, a predicted model, not a curated record
GGUAAACUAGCAGCCACAACCUGAGGACACUCAAACAGCUUACAGAAAGAUGCACACGGGUAGGGACUAAGGCUUCCUGCCAAUAAUCAGGGAAGAAGUAAAGUCUCCUAAGAACAGCCCUAUGAGUGAGCCAUCUUCCUGCCCCAAACGAGCCUUCAGAUGACUACAGCCAGGCCAACGUCUUGUCUACAAUGUCAUCAUGACACACUGAGUCAGGAUAGCCCUGCUAACUGGCUCCUGAAUUUCUGGCCCACAAACCUGUGGGAGGGAAUAGGUAUGGAAGGAUAUACAAGAAUUUCAAACAUUUAUUGAUUGUGCAAACAAUGAUUGCCAGCCAGAUGACUCAGGAGUCAGUUAAGAGGGACUUUUAGAAAUCCUACUGAAAAUGACACGAUGGGAACGUGAGCAACGUUGAAGACAAAUUAUGGAGGAAUAAGAAUGCAAUCAGGAUCUAAACUGGAUUCUUAGGAGCAAAGGAGACUUGGGCAACUAAUUAAUGUCACCAACACUUGGUCAGGGAAGGCAAAACUCAGACUCCUAACAUCGGAACCCUGCUGUAGAGAUAAGGAAGAUGCUAAGCUGUGCAGCACGACCUAGCAAAGGAAGUUCUGUCAUGCCUUCAAGGAUUCAGUUUUUAUUUUUGUUUACAGGAGACUCACUAACACUACCAACUGCACAUCUUUUCCUCUGCCACCUUCAUAGUGGAUAUUUCUUGAUGGCUACCUUAUCAUUAGAAAAUAAGCUACAUUA